RNAcentral lists this ribosomal RNA (278 nucleotides) under uncultured bacterium. RNAcentral describes it as "partial 16S ribosomal RNA". It matches the Rfam family "Bacterial small subunit ribosomal RNA", at positions 506 to 784 of the family's 1533-position model. The record is from RNAcentral.
UGCCAGCCGCCGCGGUAAUACGUAGGGGGCAAGCGUUAUCCGGAAUCACUGGGCGUAAAGGGUGCGUAGGCGGUUUUUCAAGUCAGAAGUGAAAGGCUAUGGCUCAACCAUAGUAAGCUUUUGAAACUGUAAAACUUGAGUGCAGGAGAGGUAAGUGGAAUUCCUAGUGUAGAGGUGAAAUUCGUAGAUAUUAGGAGGAACACCAGUGGCGAAGGCGACUUACUGGACUGUAACUGACGCUGAGGCACGAAAGCGUGGGGAGCGAACAGGAUUAGAUA